RNAcentral lists this unclassified non-coding RNA (351 nucleotides) under uncultured fungus. RNAcentral describes it as "sequence contains ITS1". The stretch from base 1 to 98 matches the Rfam family "5.8S ribosomal RNA", at positions 49 to 154 of the family's 154-position model. The record is from RNAcentral. Lineage: Eukaryota; Fungi.
UAAAGUGCGAUAUGUAGUGCGAUUUGCAUGAAUCUGUGAGUCAUCUAAUCUUUGAACGCAACUUGCGCCGUGUAAGCGGCAUGUCUGUUCGAGAACCGAGCGAAAAUGUGUGUAUACGAAUUGGUGGAUGCUGGUUGGGGGUGUCUGGUUGUAAAACUGGGACAUUCGCCGCUGGCUCUGCUUAAAGGAAGCAAGCAUGACUCGCAGGAACGAGCCAGUGUGCUAGAGACACAGGAGGGGGCGUAUGGCUUGUCCAACCGUCCUUCCAGUCUUGUCACUGGCAAAGAUCCCGCAGUCCAAACCAAACUCAAUUUCGGUCUCGAAUCAGGCAAGAUCACCCGCUGAACUUAA